UACGAACUGUGCGAACGUUAUUCGGAAUCACUGGGCUUACAGGGUGCGUAGGCGGCGGUGCAAGUCAGGUGUGAAAUCCCACAGCUCAACUGUGGAACUGCGCUUGAAACUGCAUUGCUUGAGAGAGCUAGAGGUAUGCGGAACUUCCGGUGGAGCGGUGAAAUGUGUUGAUAUCGGAAGGAACACCAGAGGCGAAGGCGGCAUACUGGGGCUUAUCUGACGCUGAGGCACGAAAGCCAGGGGAGCAAACGGG
RNAcentral lists this ribosomal RNA (253 nucleotides) under uncultured bacterium. RNAcentral's name for it is "partial 16S ribosomal RNA". It matches the Rfam family "Bacterial small subunit ribosomal RNA", at positions 524 to 776 of the family's 1533-position model. The record is from RNAcentral.